GACGUAGGGCGCGAGCGUUGUCCGGAUUUAUUGGGCGUAAAGAGCUCGUAGGCGGCUUGUCGCGUCGAAUGUGAAAACUCGGGGCUCAACUCCGAGCUUGCAUUCGAUACGGGCAGGCUAGAGUUCGGUAGGGGAGACUGGAAUUCCUGGUGUAGCGGUGAAAUGCGCAGAUAUCAGGAGGAACACCGGUGACGAAGGCGAGUCUCUGGGACGGUACUGACGCUGAGACGCGAAAGCGUGGGGAGCGAACAGG
RNAcentral lists this ribosomal RNA (253 nucleotides) under uncultured bacterium. RNAcentral describes it as "partial 16S ribosomal RNA". It matches the Rfam family "Bacterial small subunit ribosomal RNA", at positions 524 to 776 of the family's 1533-position model. The record is from RNAcentral.